AUCCGCCUGACGAGUCACAAAUAUGGCGAAAAGCGCAUCAUGGAU
RNAcentral lists this non-coding RNA (45 nucleotides) under Schistosoma margrebowiei. The record is from RNAcentral. Lineage: Eukaryota; Metazoa; Platyhelminthes; Trematoda; Strigeidida; Schistosomatidae.